CCAACACCCAGCAAGCCCCAACAGAGACAGGCUGAGCACUUCCUUUUAGAGUAUCCCCUGUCUCUGUCCCCUUUCCAAAAAAAGCAAAGCAUGUCCCCAGAUUGAGGACAAAAGAUGCAAACAUCCACAAUAUUGUUGACUCACAGUGAAAAAGACUGGCAGGACCCACCAGGCGCUUCAUACGUAAAACUACAUCAGGACUGGGGCUCAGCAGUGGGCGCUUGUCUCGUACGUGGGAGGCACUGGGUUGGAUCCCCAGCACCCAUAAAAAUAACUAACAAUAAAGGUAUUGUGUCCAUCUACUACAAAAAAAGAAAAAAGAAAGUUACUCUUUCCAGCCUUCACUUGGUUUCUGUGGAAACAACUAUCCCUGAGGCUCACACUCCCUUGGGGACCCGACGGUGAGUUCCAGAGGGGACAAAGAAGAGCAGCUAGUAGAAAGCACUGAGCCCAAGUUCACAACUCCCUCUCCACAACCUAGUGCUCAUUCCUCAGAGCAUCACCUCCAGGGGGCACCUACUCAUCAAGGACCCUACUGGGUAAAAUGUGUAACUGCCAGUUCUUUGUGGGUGACCUGUGGGACAGCAGCCCUACCCAAGAGGACGGAACCUCAUGAACCCUCAGGCUCUGUAGGCUGGAAAGUGAGUUUCAUGCUGAAAACUUGUUAGCAUCCUAAAAGGUACAGGAUCAGUAAAAUCACGUGAGGAAACAGGCAGCAAGGCUUCCGUAUUGCACAGAAUUUUACCCCAGGAGCCGUUCAAGACACCAAUACCAGUUGUGGCUCCAUGGUCAAGCAAGGGCAAAGAGUUCAACCUCCAGCACCCUCCCGACAUUUUUUAAGUGUUAAUACCAUGAUGAAGAGGAAAAGGCCCUGGACUAGAAGUCAAGAGCUCAAAGUUCAAGUCCAAUUGUGCAAUCAGAAAUAGCUCUGCAGCGUAUACACGUC
This 946-nucleotide long non-coding RNA is filed under the name Marmota monax (woodchuck). The record is from RNAcentral. Lineage: Eukaryota; Metazoa; Chordata; Mammalia; Rodentia; Sciuridae.